Molecule: ribosomal RNA, 246 nt
Filed under: uncultured Candidatus Saccharibacteria bacterium
Lineage: Bacteria; Candidatus Saccharimonadota
Description: partial 16S ribosomal RNA
Rfam family: Bacterial small subunit ribosomal RNA
Source: RNAcentral
CACGCCGUAAACUAUGGAUGCUAGCUGUUAUCGGUAUCGACCCCGGUAGUAGCGAAGCUAACGCGUUAAGCAUCCCGCCUGUGGAGUACGGUCGCAAGACUAAAACAUAAAGGAAUUGACGGGGACCCGCACAAGCGGUGGAGCGUGUUGUUUAAUUCGAUGGUAAGCGAAGAACCUUACCCAGGUUUGACAUCCUUGGAAUUUCUCCGAAAGGAGAAAGUGCUUUUAGAGCCAAGUGACAGGUGU